UACAGAGGUCUCAAGCGUUGUUCGGAUUCAUUGGGCGUAAAGGGAGCGUAGGCGGGCUGCCAAGUCCGGGGUGAAAUCCUCCAGCUUAACUGGAGAACUGCCUCGGAUACUGGAAGUCUCGAGGAGGGUAGGGGCAAGUGGAACCGUGGGUGGAGCGGUGAAAUGCGUUGAUAUCCAUGGGAACUCCGGUGGCGAAGGCGACUUGCUGGACCCUUUCUGACGCUGAGGCUCGAAAGCCAGGGGGGCAAACGGG
RNAcentral lists this ribosomal RNA (253 nucleotides) under uncultured bacterium. RNAcentral's name for it is "partial 16S ribosomal RNA". It matches the Rfam family "Bacterial small subunit ribosomal RNA", at positions 524 to 776 of the family's 1533-position model. The record is from RNAcentral.